Molecule: long non-coding RNA, 6221 nt
Filed under: Salmo salar (Atlantic salmon)
Lineage: Eukaryota; Metazoa; Chordata; Actinopteri; Salmoniformes; Salmonidae
Description: lncRNA (ENSSSAG00000103718.1)
Source: RNAcentral
GGAAAAAAGAAGCAAGCAAUGGCGCACCCAUGGGUGAACUUGUUUUGCAAGGCAGCAUUCGACGACAUGCACCCACCGGGAGCAUGUCACUUGCAAAACAGUCAUCCACUCAGCAGUACUUUGCCCAAGCAAGUCCGAAAUAGCACAAUCAGGCCUGAAAUCGUUCUACCACCACCACCUCCUGAUGAGGACGAACACCCUUGGCCAUAUCUAAAAUAAAUGUUUUAUUUUCUCAGAAUGAAGGAAUCAUCCUACAGGAUGAAAUGUCUGUUAUGUUUACUAAAAGUUCAGGAAAUACUAGCGUUCGAGAACUCGCCGUCGAAUCGAAAAUUUAAUCUAAGAACACAUUGAGGAUCCUAUACCUUAAGUAUUGUGGUGAAGUAUGUAGUCCAAGGGCUCCAAACAUUCACUGUUGUAGAACAAGAACCGUUCAGAGAGUUUGUCCAGGAUCUGCAGCCUAACUCAAAGAUCAUAUCAAGACCCUCUCUGCGCUCCAGGGUUGUUGAUAACCUCCAAGAAAAUGAAGAAGGUGACUGAGGCCAUGACAAGUUGACCACAUCGCCACCACCACUGACUGCUGAUCUGCAAGAAGACGGAAAUUCAUUGGUGUUACAGCCCAUUGGAUAGACCCUGAAAGUCUCAACAGAUGCUCUGCAGCCCUGGCCUGUAAACGGUUGAGAGGCUCGCACACCUUUGUUGGUAGGCGCCAUAAAUUACAUAAAUUCUCAGUUCGAAAUUCAGGGUAAGAUUGUGAGAACAACAGACAUCGGCUUUAACUUCUUGAAAGCUUUCCAAGUUUUUUAAGAAGACGAAAAUAACGAGGCAGUCGAUGUGAUGGUGUUGAAGCAGCUCAGCAAGGACAGGAAGAUGAUGAAGAGGAGGAACAAGAGGAGAGUGAAGAAGUGGAGUUUGUUUAUGUGGCAACAAUCCUGAAUGAAGAUGAUAGUUUUGAGGACCAGCUGCCGAAGCACCAGCGUUGUGUUAGACACCUACUCAACUUAGUAUCUACAUUCGAUGCCCUGAAAGCAUACAAAAAAAGUGUCCUGUUCAAUAUUUGGCAAGUGCCAAGCACUUUGGAACAAAUGAGGAAGAUCCACACUUGCAGCCGAAACGGUUGAAGAUGCUUGGGACCUCCAGAUGCUGCGCCCGAAUGCUACAAGGUGAAACUCAUGGUUCAUGGCUGUAGAAAGGCUCUUGUGGAUCAUCAAAGACAAAGAGAGGCUGCCGUCAGAGUUCUCUGCACAGACAUCGAGGUUUGAAUACCUAGUCAUCAUGCUGAUCAGGGUGAAAUUCAAUGGUGAACAAAAAUAUAUCAAGAUAAUUGACCUGACACUUGAAAAUCUUUUGAUUGGAGCUUUCCUGAAAUUUGAGGCCCACUUACUAGUUUAUCAGAGGCACAGCUGUAUGAUGGGUCUGGAACUGAAGUUGAUGGAAUCUUCCCUGAUGAGUCCUGCCUCUGCCAGUGCUGUGAUGGGUGGUUCAGACCGUGAGUCGGAUGAUACAAUAAUUUUGAGCGAGGAUGGAAGCCCCUCACGAAAGCCUCAAAGAUCUGAUGACGAAGCAAAAAAUCUAAUAGAGGGCAUACUGAAGAAAAAGCCUGGUGGAGAGGUGGUCAUCAAGGAAUACUCCAAAACUAACGGCCUGACUGACUGCACCAGACGAAAGAUGAUCAACAUUCUUGUUUUGGAGAUGACAGAUUCACGGACAUCACCAUCGCGCAGUGUGAGAGAAACGUUUCCACAAGGCAUUGUCUCCUUGUUCCCAUACCUGAAGGAUCCCUACACCACAAAUUGAUAUGAACAUUAUUACCACCCUACUAGUGGAGGAGGGUACCUCUCGUAUAGAAUCAAAACCGUUCAGAGGAAUUUGGCUUCAUCUGAGAAACGGCCCACUCAACUAUACUAUGGAUUGCCAACUGCUGAGAGGGAGUCCAGUCCAUCCACUUUGGCUACUCUGAGUGAAGACUGGUGCAGAGAGACCGUUUCUCUUAUGAAGCAUUCUUCUGAUGAAGAAACAGUCAAACAGAAGAUGAAAUUGACCUUUGGGUACAGGAAGAAGAUGACCCACGACCUGAGUAAAUGCUCCACCAUUCUAACCAAAUUUCCACGCUUUCUGGAUGUGAAGGGCUUAGUAAGACUUAAGUUGUAUACAUUUUGUUGAAUUUCCAGAUGCCAUUUGAGGUUGGCCAGUAAAUUUAAACAAAAACAACACUUCCGUAAUAGUAGCUCAAUUAAUGUGUAGGCUGGGGCUUUACUCAAACUCUGUUUUGGAGGUUCAAAUGGAAUGUUUUAUGAGAAAGAAAUGUACUUGCACAAAACAAAUGUUUUGUUCUUUGUCUUAUUUGUUUCAUGAUUGAACAGAUUUUUGUGGUGCUGUUUUUUGAGGGAACAUCAGCCACGUUUUUGGAGAGGUGGCCAACUAUAAUCAAGCAUGAAUGCUGAUGGUUAGAUGAUCAUAAUUUGUCAUUUACACUACCGUUCAAAGGUUUGGGGUCACUUAGAAAUGUCCUUGUUUUUGAAAGAAAAGCUUAUUUUUUUUGUCCAUUAAAAUAACAUCAAAUUGAUCAGAAAUACAUUGUAGACGUUGUUAAUGUUGUAAAUUGCUAUUGUAGCUGGAAAAGGCUGAUUUUUAUUGGAAUAUCUACAUACAGAGGCACAUUAUCACCAACCAUCACUCCUGUGUUCGAUUACAGGCUCAAAAUGGCCAGAAACAAAGACCUUCCUUCUGAAACUCAUCGGUCUAUUCUUGUUCUGAGAAAUGAAGGCUACUCCAUGCGAGAAAUUGCCAAGAAACUGAAGAUCUCGUACAAAGCUGUGUACUACUCCCUGCAGAGAACAGCACAAACUGGCUCUAACCAGAAUAGAAAGAGGAGUGGGAGGCCCCGGUGCACAACUGAGCAAGAGGACAAGUACAUUACAGUGUCUAGUUUGUGAAACAGACACUUAACAAGUCCUCAACUGGCAGCUUUAUUAAAUAGUACCCGCAAAACACCAGUCUCAAUGUCAACAGUGAAGAGGCGACCCCAGAAUGCUGGCCUUCUAGGCAGAGUUCCUCUGUCCAGUGUCUGUGUUCUUUUGCCCAUCUUAAUCUUUUCUUUUUGUUGGCCAGUCUGGGAUAUGGCAUUUUCUUUGCAACUCUUCCUAGAAGGCCAGCAUCCUUCAUUAACCUGUUGAGGGUAGGGGGCAGUAUUUGCACGGCCGGAUAAAAAACGUACCCGAUUUAAUCUGGUUAUUACUACUGCCCAGAAACUAGAAUAUGCAUAUAAUUAUUGGCUUUGGAUAGAAAACACCCUAAAGUUUCUAAAACUGUUUGAAUGGUGUCUGUGAGUAUAACAGAACUCAUAUGGCAGGCAAAAACCUGAGAAGAUUCUGUACAGGAAGUGCCCUCUCUGACCAUUCCUUGGGCUUCUUGACUCUUUUUAUUGAAAACUUAGGAUCUUUGCUGUAACGUGACACUUCCUACGGCUCCCAUAGGCUCUCAGAACCCAGGAAAAACCUGAAUGACGUCUUUGCAGCCCCUGGCUGAAAAACAUUAGCGCCUUUGGUAAGUAGUCUAUCAGAGGACAAUGAGACUGAGGCGCGUGCACGAGGUGACCCCAUGUUUUUAUUUUCUCUCUCUUUGUACUAAAACACGGUUUCCCGGUUGGAAUAUUAUCGCUUUUUUACGAGAAAAAUGGCAUAAAAAUUGAUUUUAAACAGCGGUUGACAUGCUUCGAAGUACGGUAAUGGAAUAUUUAGAAUUUUUUUGUCACGAAACGCGUCGGGCGCAUCACCUUUCGGAUAGUGUCUUGAACGCACGAACAAAACGCCACUAUUUGGAUAUAACUAUGGAUUAUUUUGAACCAAACCAACAUUUGUUAUUGAAGUAGAAGUCCUGGGAGUGCAUUCUGAUGAAGAACAGCAAAGGUAAUAACAUAUUUCUUAUAGUAAAUCUGACUUUGGUGAGGGCUAAACUUGGUGGGUGUCUAAAUAGCUAGCCCUGUGAUGCCGGGCUAUCUACUUAGAAUAUUGCAAAAUGUGCUUUCACCGAAAAGCUAUUUUAAAAUCGGACAUAGCGAGUGCAUAGAGGAGUUCUGUAUCUAUAAUUCUUAAAAUAAUUGUAUGUUUUUUGUGAACGUUUAUCGUGAGUAAUUUUGUAAAUUCACUGGAAGUUUGCGGGGGGAGGUAUGCUAGUUCUGAACGUCACAUGCUAAUGUAAAAAGCUGGUUUUUGAUAUAAAUAUGAACUUGAUUGAACAAAACAUGCAUGUAUUGUAUAACAUAAUGUCCUAGGAUUGUCAUCUGAUGAAGAUCAUCAAAGGUUAGUGCUGCAUUUAGCUGUGGUUUGGGUUUAUGUGACAUGCUAGCUUGAAAAAUGUGUGUCUGAUUAUUUCUGGCUGGGUACUCUGCUGACAUAAUCUAAUGUUUUGCUUUCGUUGUAAAGCCUUUUUGAAAUCGGACAGUGUGGUUAGAUUAACGAGAGUCUUGUCUUUAAAAUUGUGUAAAAUAGUCAUAUGUUUGAGAAAUUGAAGUAAUAGCAUUUCUAAGGUAUUUGAAUAACGCGCCACGGGAUUCCACUGGCUGUUACAUAGGUGGGACGAAAUCGUCCCACUGGCCCUAGAGAGGUUAAAGCAUAAUUAUAUUUUGUCUGUAAGUACUUUUAUUGCUUCUUUAAUCAGAACAACAGUUUUCAGCUGUGCAAACAUAAUUGCAAAAGGGUUUUCUAAUGAUCAAUUAGCCUGCUAAACUUGGAUUAGCUAACACAACGUGCCAUUGGAGCACAGGAGUGAUGGUUGCUGAUAAUGGGCCUCUGUACGCCUAUGUAGAUAUUCCAUUAAAAUAUCUGCUGUUUUCAUCUACAAUAGUCAUUUACAACAGUAACAAUGUCUACACUGUAUUUUUCAUCAAUUUGAUGUUAUUUAAAAAAAAAAAAAAUUUCUUUCAAAAACAAGAUUUCUAAGUUACCCCAAAUUUCAAAUCAAAUGAAAUGUAUUUGUCACAUACACAUGGUUAGCAAGUGAAAUUGCAGAGCGCAAAAUUCAAAAUACAAAAAUCAUAAUAUUAAACAUUCAUGAAAAUACAAGUGUCAUACAUCAUUUAAAAUCUUAACUUCUUGUUAAUCCAGCCGCUUUGUCAGAUUUCAAAAAGGCUUUACGGCGAAAGCAUACUAUGCGAUUAUCUGAGGACAGCGCCCCGUGUACAAAAGCAUUAAAAACAUUUUCCAAACCAGCAGAGGCAUCACGAAAGUCAGAAAUAGCGAUAAAAUAAAUCACUUACCUUUCAAGAUCAACCUCUGUUUUCAAUCCCAAGGGUCCCAGCUACAUAACAAAUGGUCGUUUUGUUUGAUAAAGUCCUUCUUUAUAUCCCAAAAAGGUCAGUUUAUUUGGCGCACUUGAUUCAGUAAUCCACCUGUUCCCCUCGUUCAAAAUGCAUACAAAGAAUCCCAAAAGUUACCAAUAAACUUCGUCCAAACAAGUCAAACAACAUUUCUAAUCAAUCCUCAGUUACCCUAAUAUGUAAAUAAACGAUAAAAUUUAAGACGGAGAAUAGUAUGUUCAUUACCGGAGAUAAAUAAUGAAGUGCGUGCCCUCAUCCACACGCGCCAAAAGACGACAGUCAAAAUGAGAGCCACCUAGAAAAACUACAAAUUCUAGCUCAUUUUUCAAAAAACAAGCCUGAAACCCUUUCUAAAGACAUCUAGUGGAAGCCAUAGGAACUGCAAUCUGGGAGGAUUUCCUUUUAUUUUCCCAUAGACAGCCAUUUCAACGGGUGGUGACCUCAAAAAGAUUAUCCUCGGGUUUUCACCUGCCUUAUCAGUUCUGUUGUACUCACAGACAUUAUGUUAACAGUUUUAGAAACUUCAGAGUGUGUUCUAUCCAAAACUACCAAUUAUAUGCAUAUCCUAGCUUCUGGGCCUGAGUAACAGGCAGUUUACUUUGGGCACCUCAGUCAUCCGAACUUCCGAAUAUUGCCCCCUAUAGUAAAGUCAUGACUGUGGCGAUGUCCUCUUAAUCCUACAGUGAGGUUGUGUGCAGAUCUGUACAUGUACUUUUGAUGAGCUCAUCAUCUACAUAGUAUUUUUCAAUAUAUAUGGUUCUAUUAUAGGAGGUGUUUUCUAAAGCAAAGGGACUGAUUGUAAGUGCUUAUGUUUACUGGCUAUAUUCCUUCAUUAAACCAUAAGUGUUGCCUAAUUGAGAAUCCACCUUUUUUUAUCUGAGCACUUCUUUCAUCUGUAAGACUAACU